Nannospalax galili (Upper Galilee mountains blind mole rat) is the source of this 232-nucleotide long non-coding RNA. RefSeq lists it as uncharacterized. The transcript is spliced from 3 exons. The record is from RefSeq and is a predicted model, not a curated record. Lineage: Eukaryota; Metazoa; Chordata; Mammalia; Rodentia; Spalacidae.
CCUCAGCCCACCAUCCCCAUCUUGGCAAGUGGCUGGCCUGGCUCUCCUUGGAGCUGUGGUCAUUGGAGCUGUGGUGGCUGUUGUGAUAAGGAGGAGGAAGCUGGCAGGUUGUUUUCUCUGUUCAGAUGGAAAAGGAAGGAGCUGUGCUCAGGAAACAGGAAGUGACAGCACCCAGGGCUCCCAUGAUUUUCUCCUAGGAUUUAAAGGUGAGACCUGGGAAAGCCUGAAGUGG